CGGACGGGUGAGUAAUGUCUGGGAAACUGCCUGAUGGAGGGGGAUAACUACUGGAAACGGUAGCUAAUACCGCAUAACGUCGCAAGACCAAAGAGGGGGACCUUCGGGCCUCUUGCCAUCGGAUGUGCCCAGAUGGGAUUAGCUAGUAGGUGGGGUAACGGCUCACCUAGGCGACGAUCUCUAGCUGGUCUGAGAGGAUGACCAGCCACACUGGAACUGAGACACGGUCCAG
RNAcentral lists this ribosomal RNA (232 nucleotides) under uncultured bacterium. RNAcentral describes it as "partial 16S ribosomal RNA". It matches the Rfam family "Bacterial small subunit ribosomal RNA", at positions 99 to 334 of the family's 1533-position model. The record is from RNAcentral.